AAGUCGUAACAAGGUUUCCGUAGGUGAACCUGCGGAAGGAUCAUUAUCGUGGGGCUUCGGCCCUCUCGAGAUAGAACCCUUGCCUUUUUGAGUACCUUCGUUUCCUCGGCAGGCUCGCCUGCCAAUGGGGACCCCAAAAAACCCUUUGUAAUACCUGUAAUCGUCUGACAAAACAAACAAAAAUUAAAACUUUCAACAACGGAUCUCUUGGUUCUG
RNAcentral lists this unclassified non-coding RNA (216 nucleotides) under Preussia flanaganii. RNAcentral describes it as "partial internal transcribed spacer region". The stretch from base 1 to 46 matches the Rfam family "Eukaryotic small subunit ribosomal RNA", at positions 1786 to 1831 of the family's 1831-position model. RNAcentral also lists the same sequence under 2 other names. Lineage: Eukaryota; Fungi; Ascomycota; Dothideomycetes; Pleosporales; Sporormiaceae. The record is from RNAcentral.